Panthera pardus (leopard) is the source of this 309-nucleotide unclassified non-coding RNA. Its record names the gene 7SK. It matches the Rfam family "7SK RNA". From Rfam's summary of the family: 7SK was discovered as an abundant small nuclear RNA in the mid-70s but a possible function has only recently been suggested. Two independent studies have found that 7SK RNA binds the CDK9/cyclin T complex (known as elongation factor P-TEFb). P-TEFb activates transcription by phosphorylating the C-terminal domain of RNA polymerase II. Lineage: Eukaryota; Metazoa; Chordata; Mammalia; Carnivora; Felidae. The record is from Ensembl.
GGAAGUGAAGGCCAUCUGGAUGUGACAUCUAUCACCCCGUUGAUCACCAGCGUUGAUUCAGCUGAUCAGGCUGGCUUAAGCAGGUGUCCCCUUCCUUCCUCACCACUCUAUGUGCGUCCUCCAUCGAAGAGGAUGACCUUCCCUGACAGAGGACCAUUCUUGGGUCAAGGGUAUAUGAGUAGCUGUGCUCUCCUGCUAGAACCAAACAAGCUCUCAGGGUCCAUUGGUAGGAGAAUGUAGGGUAGUCAAACUUCCAAGGCUCUGGACACAUCCAAAUGAGGUGCUGCAUGUGGCAGUCUACCUUUCUUU